RNAcentral lists this non-coding RNA (27 nucleotides) under Homo sapiens (human). Lineage: Eukaryota; Metazoa; Chordata; Mammalia; Primates; Hominidae. The record is from RNAcentral.
UAGGGUAAGGGCUGAUGACUUGGCCUU